Molecule: ribosomal RNA, 117 nt
Filed under: Pteropus alecto (black flying fox)
Lineage: Eukaryota; Metazoa; Chordata; Mammalia; Chiroptera; Pteropodidae
Source: RNAcentral
AAGUACAGCCAUGCCACCCCGAACAUGCCCGAUCUCAUCUGAUCUCAGAAGCUAAGCAGGGUCGGGCCUGGGCUACUCAGAUGGGAGAUCACCUUGGAAUAUCAGGUGCUGUAGGUG